RNAcentral lists this ribosomal RNA (490 nucleotides) under uncultured bacterium. Its description in RNAcentral is "partial 16S ribosomal RNA". It matches the Rfam family "Bacterial small subunit ribosomal RNA", at positions 30 to 507 of the family's 1533-position model. The record is from RNAcentral.
AUUGAACGCUGGCGGCAUGCCUUACACAUGCCAGUCGAACGGCAGCAUGAUCUAGCUUGCUCGAUUGAUGGCGAGUGGCGAACGGGUGAGUAAUACAUCGGAACGUGCCCUGUAGUGGGGGAUAACUAGUCGAAAGAUUAGCUAAUACCGCAUACGACCUGAGGGUGAAAGUGGGGGACCGCAAGGCCUCAUGCUAUAGGAGCGGCCGAUGUCUGAUUAGCUAGUUGGUGAGGUAAAGGCUCACCAAGGCGACGAUCAGUAGCUGGUCUGAGAGGACGAUCAGCCACACUGGGACUGAGACACGGCCCAGACUCCUACGGGAGGCAGCAGUGGGGAAUUUUGGACAAUGGGCGAAAGCCUGAUCCAGCAAUGCCGCGUGUGUGAAGAAGGCCUUCGGGUUGUAAAGCACUUUUGUCCGGAAAGAAAUGGCUCUGGUUAAUACCUGGGGUCGAUGACGGUACCGGAAGAAUAAGGACCGGCUAACUACGUG